ACGGAAGGCAGCAGUGGGGAAUAUUGGGCAAUGGGCGAAAGCCUGACCCAGCAACGCCGCGUGAAGGAAGAAGGUCUUCGGAUUGUAAACUUCUUUUAUGAGGGACGAAGGACGUGACGGUACCUCAUGAAUAAGCCACGGCUAACUACGUGCCAGCAGCCGCGGUAAUACGUAGGUGGCGAGCGUUAUCCGGAUUUACUGGGUGUAAAGGGAGCGCAGGCGGUAACGCAAGCCAGAGGUGAAAACCCGGGGCUCAACCCCGAGGAUUGCCUUUGGAACUGUGGAACUGGAGUGCUGGAGGGGCAGGCGGAAUUCCUGGUGUAGCGGUGAAAUGCGUAGAUAUCAGGAGGAACACCGGUGGCGAAGGCGGCCUGCUGGACAGUAACUGACGCUGAGGCUCGAAAGCGUGGGGAGCAAACAGGAUUAGAUACCCUGGUA
Molecule: ribosomal RNA, 438 nt
Rfam family: Bacterial small subunit ribosomal RNA